UCCCUGGUGGUGCAGUGACUAAGACUCUGCACUCCCAAUGCAGAGGGCCCGGGUUUGAUCCUGGGUCAGGGAG
Non-coding RNA from Bos taurus (domestic cattle), 73 nucleotides. The record is from Rfam. Lineage: Eukaryota; Metazoa; Chordata; Mammalia; Artiodactyla; Bovidae.